This 30-nucleotide non-coding RNA is filed under the name Callithrix jacchus (white-tufted-ear marmoset). Lineage: Eukaryota; Metazoa; Chordata; Mammalia; Primates; Cebidae. The record is from RNAcentral. RNAcentral also lists the same sequence under 1 other name.
CAAAUGUGAUUGGCUGUCAUUUGGUGGACA